Molecule: ribosomal RNA, 270 nt
Filed under: uncultured archaeon
Lineage: Archaea
Description: partial 16S ribosomal RNA
Rfam family: Archaeal small subunit ribosomal RNA
Source: RNAcentral
CAGCACCUCAAGUGGUCAGGAUGAUUAUUGGGCCUAAAGCAUCCGUAGCCGGCGCUGUAAGUUUUCGGUUAAAUCUGUACGCUCAACGUACAGGCUGCCGGGAAUACUGCAGCGCUAGGGAGUGGGAGAGGUAGACGGUACUCGGUAGGAAGGGGUAAAAUCCUUUGAUCUAUUGAUGACCACCUGUGGCGAAGGCGGUCUACCAGAACACGUCCGACGGUGAGGGAUGAAAGCUGGGGGAGCAAACCGGAUUAGAUACCCGGGUAGUCC